GAUGAACGCUGGCGGCGUGCCUAAUACAUGCAAGUCGAGCGAACAGACGAGGAGCUUGCUCCUCUGACGUUAGCGGCGGACGGGUGAGUAACACGUGGAUCACCUACCUAUAAGACUGGGAUAACUUCGGGAAACCGGAGCUAAUACCGGAUAAUAUAUUGAACCGCAUGGUUCAAUAGUGAAAGACGGUUUUGCUGUCACUUAUAGCUGGAUCCGCGCCGCAUUAGCUAGUUGGUAAGGUAACGGCUUACCAAGGCAACGAUGCGUAGCCGACCUGAGAGGGUGAUCGGCCACACUGGAACUGAGACACGGUCCAGACUCCUACGGGAGGCAGCAGUAGGGAAUCUUCCGCAAUGGGCGAAAGCUUGACGGAGCAACGCCGCGUGAGUGAUGAAGGUCUUCGGAUCGUAAAACUCUGUUAUUAGGGAAGAACAAAUGUGUAAGUAACUAUGCACGUCUUGACGGUACCUAAUCAGAAAGCCACGGCUAACUACGUG
This 497-nucleotide ribosomal RNA is filed under the name uncultured bacterium. Its description in RNAcentral is "partial 16S ribosomal RNA". It matches the Rfam family "Bacterial small subunit ribosomal RNA", at positions 28 to 507 of the family's 1533-position model. The record is from RNAcentral.